Molecule: non-coding RNA, 157 nt
Organism: Xenorhabdus beddingii
Lineage: Bacteria; Pseudomonadati; Pseudomonadota; Gammaproteobacteria; Enterobacterales; Morganellaceae
Source: Rfam
AUAAAGGUUAGCUCACAUGAUCCACGCUAUUCGCCUACUAAGCCUACUCCUAAUCGCCUUUAAUGUGCGCGGUACGCUGGUAGGUGAAAGAAGAAAAAGUUGAGCUGACUUCAUCUCCACCAGAUAAAAAAAACCCGCGCAUAGCGCGGGUUUUUUU